CUUGAAAGUGCUCCUCCCUUUAGAGAAGGAAUGAAAGAGAACAAAAAUAAAUAGCACUAGGUGGACUCAUAAAACUUGUCAGAAUCUUUCAAGCAUGGCAUAUGUGAUGAUUCAUGGGGUUUGCAAAACAUUACCAGAUUAAAACAAGAAAAGUCACACUGAGCGGUCAUUCUACAGUUUCAGAACCCUGUGUGGCAACAAAUCCUAAUGGGUAGGGAAACCAUGUCGCCUUUCCACCUGCCCAACACCAUGCACAGGCAGGAGGAUGCUCAGUAACAGAGCAGCGGACAUUCCAGGCUCAACUUUGUUCUUUACCCCAAGACAAGACUUCCGGAAAUUGGUUGAGAAAUAAUUUGCUCAAAUUUCUCUCCCUACAGAUUGAGCCCAUUUCCUCUAACACACUCAUCAGCAAAAAGAGAAAAGCACAGAUUCAUCAGAGCACUUAUUCUACCCUUCAGAAUUUCAGAGAUUUGAUAAAUGCAAUUUUCCUGGAGCCUUCACUUUUCUGUAAUUUAAAUGCUAAGCCCUUUCUUUAUACACCAGCUAAAAUUCACCACAUUCCCACUCUCAACACAUUCUCAUUCAAUGUGAUACCUCCAUCUUUCUGAUCUGUGACCAACCAUUGCACUUCAUUAACCAAGGGAAAACAACAGGACCUUUUCACACUCAGGAGCUAGACUGAGAUGAUUCCUGGAGGGAGGCAUUCAUCAGCCACUGAAUUCAGCCUAAUCAGGAAGACUUAUCACUCUAAUGAAACCAAUUUUGCUACAAGGAGAGAUUAUUAUUAAUUUACAACUAAAUGUCUGGCUAUCACGUCACUGAGUGAAGUCUCCACGGCUAUAUUGCUUACAAUCAAAACCAUCCCUGACAAGAUUAUAAACUUGGGGUGCAGGUGUUGCUGUGGCAUGACAGGUGAGGCCACCACCUGCAAUGCCAGAACACAUGGGAAACCCAGAUGAUGCUCCUGGUUCCUGGCUUUGACCUGACCAACUCUGGCCAUUAUUGCCACUUGAAGAGUGACUUAAAAUAAAGAAGAGAUGCAGGGAAACAUAGUCUGCACACCUAACCACCUCAAGAACACUUGAAAGUCAAGACUGACAUUGAGUGAGGAUGCUGUGAUCGUUGGAGAGAAAGCAACAUGGCUAGGACUCUGGAACUACCUGACAAGCACUGAGACUAGUAAGGUUCUAUUUAGUUUAACUCAUCUCCUUAACCUUGAUCUAAUUAUGUUUGAUGAGAUUAAGACUUGUCAGAAUAUAUUUGGCAUUUUAGAGGGAUGGCACUGCCAACGAUAUUUUCAGUAGAAACUAGGAGAGAAUUUAGCCUAAGGAAAUGACAAAAUGACACAGAAGCCCUAGGAAUGAAACGAGGGAUGAUUCUAAGAACAA
Ochotona princeps (American pika) is the source of this 1388-nucleotide long non-coding RNA. RefSeq lists it as uncharacterized. The transcript has 3 exons. The record is from RefSeq and is a predicted model, not a curated record. NCBI's taxonomy places the organism in Eukaryota, Metazoa, Chordata, Mammalia, Lagomorpha, Ochotonidae.